This 595-nucleotide ribosomal RNA is filed under the name Lactarius sp. KIINA. RNAcentral describes it as "eukaryotic LSU rRNA". The stretch from base 181 to 334 matches the Rfam family "5.8S ribosomal RNA". The record is from RNAcentral. Lineage: Eukaryota; Fungi; Basidiomycota; Agaricomycetes; Russulales; Russulaceae.
CAAAAGUUGUGCACGCCUGAGCGCGUCCUCUCACAUAACAUCCAUCUCACCCUUUUGUGCACCACCGCGUGGGCACCCUUUGGGAUCGAACCGAUCCGGGAGGGGGCUUGCGUUUUCACACAAACCCCUUUUAAAAAAAGUGUAGAAUGUCCCCAUUUUGCGAUGACACGCAAUCAAUACAACUUUCAACAACGGAUCUCUUGGCUCUCGCAUCGAUGAAGAACGCAGCGAAAUGCGAUACGUAAUGUGAAUUGCAGAAUUCAGUGAAUCAUCGAAUCUUUGAACGCACCUUGCGCCCCUUGGUAUUCCGAGGGGCACACCCGUUUGAGUGUCGUGAAAAUCUCAACCUUCUCGGUUUUCUUCUGGACACUGAAGGAGGCUUGGACUUUGGAGGCCUUUGCUGGCAUCUCUCUCUUUUUGAGAGCCAGCUCCUCUUAAAUGAAUUAGCGGGGUCCUCUUUGCCGAUCCUCGACAUGUGAUAAGAUGUUUCCAUGACUUGGUUUCUGGCUCUGUUGCCUUUGGGACCUGCUUCUAACCGUCUCAAAUGAGACAACGGUUUGGGUGUGUCUCCCUCCUCGGGGAAACACUCUCAACC